RNAcentral lists this ribosomal RNA (406 nucleotides) under uncultured bacterium. RNAcentral describes it as "partial 16S ribosomal RNA". It matches the Rfam family "Bacterial small subunit ribosomal RNA", at positions 30 to 526 of the family's 1533-position model. The record is from RNAcentral.
AUUGAACGCUGGCGGCAUGCCUAACACAUGCAAGUCGAACGAUUGGAAGACGGGUGAGAAAUGUCUGGGAAACUCCCUGUUGGAGGGGGAUAACUACUGGAAACGUUAGCUAAUACCGCAUACCAUCGGAUUUGCCCAGAUGGGAUUAGCUAGUAGGUGGGUUAAAGGCUAACCUAGGCGACGAUCCCUAGCUGGUCUGAGAGGAUGACCAGCCACACUGGAACUGAGACACGGUCCAGACUCCUACGGGAGGCAGCAGUGGGGAAUAUUGCACAAUGGGCGCAAGCCUGAUGCAGCCAUGCCGCGUGGAUGAAGAAGGCCUUCGGGUUGUAAAGUACUUUCAGCGGGGAGGCGUUACCCGCAGAAGAAGCACCGGCUAACUCCGUGCCAGCAGCCGCGGUAAUUC